RNAcentral lists this long non-coding RNA (1443 nucleotides) under Capsicum annuum. Its description in RNAcentral is "long non-coding RNA (CANN_LNC009894)". Lineage: Eukaryota; Viridiplantae; Streptophyta; Magnoliopsida; Solanales; Solanaceae. The record is from RNAcentral.
CAAUAUAUACAAGAAGUCUCGAGUAGAAAUGACUAAACUAGAGUAGAUAGAGAAGGAUCAGCCUCGGGUGACAGUAAGCUCACCCUGCUCCAAAUCAGUACUAGAAGGUAGGAAUCACAUCGAUAUCGACUGCUACUACUCGAAUCUGCAUCAGGGAAAAGAUGCAAAAGUGUAGUAUUAGUACCAAAGCAACGGGUACUCAGUAAGCAUCAUCGGCCGACUGAGCUCAAUACAGAAAUGUAUAACUAUAAUGCGAGAGUGUAAUCUAAGUCAUCAGUAAGGGAUACAAAGGUAAACAACUACCAUACUAUGCAAAUGCGGUAAAGGAAUAAAUAUAAAUGAUACAAAAAAAUAAAUAAUGCAGUAAUAACAGACAAAUCAAACAUAACUUAACUAUACCCCAUAAGCCCGUUAGGCAUACUAAAGAAGACAAUUAACCCAACUGUACCCACAUAAGCCAGUGGAACACACAAGAAGUAAUUAAAAAAAAAACAUAAAUAAUCCGUAGCUAAACCGAUCCCAAGAAGUCAUAGUAGUCAUCCAGAUGUGCACCGGGUUUGAACCAGCACCAAUAGGUAGUAAUGAGAGUCCAUACACCAGACUCAAACUGGUAGCGAUGGAUAAUAACAAGAGGACACGUGCUGGAUUUAAACUGGAUAUAGUGGGUAAUAACGAAAGGCCACAUAUAUAAUAUAUGACAGAACUCAUAAUUAGAUGAGAAACUCGAACCAAAAAUCAAAGGAACCACAACCAUAAUCAGAUGUGGCACUCAAACAAGAACUCGAAGGAACCACAACCAUAAUCAGAUGUCGGACUCAAACCGAAACUCAAGGGAACCACAACCAUAACCAGAUCCCAGACUCGAAUUGGAACUCAUAGUAACCAUCCCACUGUAAUACUAAAAUUUAUACCAUACCAUAACAAUGUCAAUGUGGUACCAAAAUUCACAAUUAAUGACUGAAAUAAAGUACAUACUGAACCUAAAUAGAAGCUAAAAUACGUCUAAUUACCAUAUGAAUAUCUUAAUUUAAAAGGAGCAAAUUCAAGGUUUUACAAUUUAAUUCCGCGUUCUAAAGUGCUAGACUCUAUAUUAUAUUGAAAGAUAAAAUACCAAAAUUUACUAGAACGAGGUCCCAAUUCGAAUAAAUAAGGCAUGUUAUAUAUAUAUCAAAUGGUACGGAACUACAAGUACUUAUCUUGAACUAGCAUAAUAGUACACAAUUUCAGUAAAUAAGCUCAAUCUAAAGGUAGGGUAAGACUAGCCUACCUGGACGCCAAAGCUAUAAUAUCUUUCCGCGAAACCUCCGAAUAGUACCACUAGAAUAUGAACUUGAAUAAAGGGAUAAGGAUAAUUUACUACACCAACUCGAAACUUAACUUUCGAACAGAAAGGGAAGAAUCAUAGUAUAUAUAUUUAUAUAGAGGGAUAUAAGUUGCAUGAUG